RNAcentral lists this non-coding RNA (27 nucleotides) under Homo sapiens (human). Lineage: Eukaryota; Metazoa; Chordata; Mammalia; Primates; Hominidae. The record is from RNAcentral.
UCACUGAGUGAUAAGCAUGGUUGGUUC